This 790-nucleotide non-coding RNA is filed under the name Salpingoeca rosetta. RNAcentral's name for it is "Salpingoeca sp. ATCC 50818 Eukaryotic small subunit ribosomal RNA". It matches the Rfam family "Eukaryotic small subunit ribosomal RNA", at positions 1117 to 1823 of the family's 1831-position model. Lineage: Eukaryota; Choanoflagellata; Craspedida; Salpingoecidae. The record is from Rfam by way of RNAcentral.
GGGGGAGUAUGAUCGCAAGAUUGAAACUUAAAGGAAUUGACGGAAGGGCACCACCAGGAGUGGAGCCUGCGGCUUAAUUUGACUCAACACGGGGAAACUCACCAGGUCCAGACAUGGGAAGGAUUGACAGAUUGACAGCUCUUUCUUGAUUCCAAGGGAGGUGGUGCAUGGCCGUCCAGCUUUUGUUGUGAAAUCUCUGUUUGAUUACGGUAAACGGCGAGACCUUGACUUGCUGAUUGGUGUGCGCCUGCGUCAGCAGGCGUUGGAGAUUACGCGCAAGCGUGUCUCUUUCUUACACCACUCAGAGGGACACUCGGCGUUGCUAUUGAGCGUAAGCCGAAGGAAGUUUGAGGCGAUAACAGGUCUGUGAUGCCCUUAGAUGUUCUGGGCUGCACGCGCGCUACACUGACGGGGGCAGCGAGUAUGCUUUGGGUGUUUGUGGUGGGGAGCGUGAAAGCGUUUUUCUACGACAGACAUCUAUUCCUGCGCUGGAAGGCGUGGGGACUCUUGUGAAAACCCGUCGUGCUGGGGAUAGAUGCUUGCAAUUAUUCAUCUUGAACGAGGAAUUCCUAGUAAGCGCAAUUCAACAGAUUGCGUUGAUUACGUCCCUGCCCUUUGUACACACCGCCCGUCGCUACUACCGAUUGAAUGGUUUAGUGAGGCCUCGGGAUUGGCGCGUGGGCGCUGGCAACAGCUGCCCAUGUCAUCUUUUGCUGAGAACCUGGUCAAACUUGAUCAUUUAGAGGAAGUAAAAGUCGUAACAAGGUUUCCGUAGGUGAACCUGCGGAAG